This 433-nucleotide ribosomal RNA is filed under the name uncultured bacterium. RNAcentral describes it as "partial 16S ribosomal RNA". It matches the Rfam family "Bacterial small subunit ribosomal RNA", at positions 29 to 507 of the family's 1533-position model. The record is from RNAcentral.
AACGAACGCUGGCGGCAUGCCUAACACAUGCAAGUCGAACGAGACCUUCGGGUCUAUGGGCGCACGGGUGCUUAACGCGUGGGAACCUGCCCUUAGGUUCGGAAUAACUCCCCGAAAGGGGUGCUAAUACCGGAUAAUGUCUUCCGACCAAAGAUUUAUCGCCUUUGGAUGGGCCCUCGUUGGAUUAGCUAGUUGGUAGGGUAAAAGCCUACCAAGGCGACGAUCCAUAGCUGGUCGGAGAGGAUGAUCAGCCACACUGGGACUGAGACACGGCCCAGACUCCUACGGGAGGCAGCAGUGGGGAAUAUUGGACAAUGGGCGAAAGCGUGAUCCAGCAAUGCCGGGUGAGUGAUGAAGGGGGUAGGGUUGUAAAGCUGUUUUACACGGGAUGAGAAUGACAGUAACGGGAGAAUAAGCUCCGGCUAACUCCGUG